AACGAACGCUGGCGGCAGGCUUAACACAUGCAAGUCGAACGGGCGCUUAUUUCCCAGCGAUGGGGAUGGGCGUCAGUGGCAGACGGGUGAGUAACGCGUGGGAACAUACCCUUUGGUUCGGAAUAACUUGAGGAAACUUGAGCUAAUGCCGGAUACGCCCUUAGACGAGAGUCUGGGGGGAAAGAUUCAUUGCCGGAGGAAUGGCCCGCGUUCGAUUAGCUGGUUGGUGGGGUAACGGCUCACCAAGGCGACGAUCGAUAGCUGGUCUGA
Molecule: ribosomal RNA, 270 nt
Filed under: uncultured bacterium
Lineage: Bacteria
Description: partial 16S ribosomal RNA
Rfam family: Bacterial small subunit ribosomal RNA
Source: RNAcentral